CCUACGGGGGGCAGCAGUAGGGAAUAUUGCUCAAUGGGGGAAACCCUGAAGCAGCAACGCCGCGUGGAGGAUGAAGGUUUUCGGAUUGUAAACUCCUUUUGUUAGAGAAGAUAAUGACGGUAUCUAACGAAUAAGCCCCGGCUAACUCCGUGCCAGCAGCCGCGGUAAUACGUAGGGUGCAAGCGUUACUCGGAAUCACUGGGCGUAAAGAGCGCGUAGGCGGGAUGGCAAGUCAGGUGUGAAAUCCUAGGGCUUAACCACGGGACUGCACUUGAAACUGCUGGGCUGGAGUGUGGGAGGGGCAGGCGGAAUUCCUGGUGUAGCGGGGAAAUGCGGAGAGAGCAGGAGGAACACCGGUGGCGAAGGCGGCCUGCUGGACUGCAACUGACGUUGAUGACCGAAAGCGUGGGGAGCAAACAGGAUUAGAUACCCUUGUAGUC
RNAcentral lists this ribosomal RNA (440 nucleotides) under uncultured bacterium. Its description in RNAcentral is "partial 16S ribosomal RNA". It matches the Rfam family "Bacterial small subunit ribosomal RNA", at positions 338 to 795 of the family's 1533-position model. The record is from RNAcentral.